CCCCUAGACGUUCUGGGCUGCACGCGCGCGACAAUAAUACGCACAGCGAGUAUCACCGAGCUCGAAAGGGCAAGGUAAACAAUAGAAAAGGUACUGUAAUGGUUAUAGAUCCUUGUAAUUAUUGAUCUUCAACGAGGAAUUCCUAGUAAGUAUGUGUCAUCAUCACGCACUGAUUACGUCCCUGCCCUUUGUACACACCGCCCGUCGCUCCUACCGAUUGGGUGAGCCGAUGAAACUCUCGGAUGUAGGCUAUUCAUAGCCCGCAGAAGAGAUUUGAAUCGUAGCGCUUAGAGGAAGGAGAAGUCGUAACA
Molecule: ribosomal RNA, 311 nt
Filed under: uncultured eukaryote
Lineage: Eukaryota
Description: partial 18S ribosomal RNA
Rfam family: Eukaryotic small subunit ribosomal RNA
Source: RNAcentral